UUCCUUUAAUUCUUUCUGGAAUUCUUUCAAUCCCUGGAGGAGUACCACAGGAGGGGCCUGGCAGUGUUUCACCCCCCAUGUCACAUCUCUAGGGCCCUACUUUCCAACUUGAGAAAGCUUAAGCAGCCUGCUCAAGGUCAGCCAGCUAGUUGGCAGCAAAGCUCACACUGGAAUCCAGCUUUUACUCCAGCAGCCUCUCCUCUGGCAACCUUGUUAACCUAGUCUCCAAGGGCUGGGCUGUGGGUUCCUUUGAUUCUUUCCGGACCGCCUGAGGGUGCAUGGAUAUAGUUAACAUCGCGUGUGUCAGUAUCUUAUCUCCUGUCACGUGUAGAGGAACCCAGUUUCCCAACUUUCAAAGAGGUUAAACGACUUGCCCAAGAUCAUCCAUCUGGUCUGUACCAAAGCCCCUACAGGGUUCUGACUCAAGAGCCACACUCACUCAACUCUGCGCUGCUCUCGAAUUCCUUUUAGUUUUUCCAGAACCGAUGAAGCUGCUGCAGCUAUACUUCACCCUGAGUUUAAUCUGUAAGGACAACAGUUCCCAAGGGAAAGUUACAGAGCCGGCGAGACGCUCCAGCAACUACAGAUGGGCAGAAAGCAGCUGACUAGCCAGGGUGGAGACUGCUCAGUCCACAAAUAAUCUCGACGGGUGAAGGUCUCAGGAGUACAUACAACUCCAGAUAGCCGCAAACACUUAGG
RNAcentral lists this long non-coding RNA (699 nucleotides) under Capra hircus (goat). Its description in RNAcentral is "lncRNA (ENSCHIG00000000691.1)". The record is from RNAcentral. Lineage: Eukaryota; Metazoa; Chordata; Mammalia; Artiodactyla; Bovidae.